Molecule: unclassified non-coding RNA, 272 nt
Organism: Pan paniscus (pygmy chimpanzee)
Lineage: Eukaryota; Metazoa; Chordata; Mammalia; Primates; Hominidae
Rfam family: Metazoan signal recognition particle RNA
About the family: The signal recognition particle (SRP) is a universally conserved ribonucleoprotein. It is involved in the co-translational targeting of proteins to membranes. The eukaryotic SRP consists of a 300-nucleotide 7S RNA and six proteins: SRPs 72, 68, 54, 19, 14, and 9.
Source: Ensembl
GCCAGGUGCAGUGGCUCACACCUGUAAUCCUAGCCCUUAGGAGGCUGAGGUGGGAGGAUCACUUGAGCUCAGGAGUUCAAGACCAGCCUGGGCAAUAUGGUGAAACCCUGUCUCUACGAAAAAUUAGCCGGGCAUGGUGGCGCAUGCCUGUAGUCCCAGCUACUCAGGAGGCUGAGGUGGGAGGAUCAUUUGAGCCCAGGAGGCGGAAGUUGCAGUGAGCCAAGAUUGCACCACCGUACUCCAGCCUGGGCAACAAGUGAGAUCCUGUCUCA